RNAcentral lists this long non-coding RNA (1192 nucleotides) under Panax ginseng (ginseng). RNAcentral describes it as "long non-coding RNA (PGIN_LNC009549)". Lineage: Eukaryota; Viridiplantae; Streptophyta; Magnoliopsida; Apiales; Araliaceae. The record is from RNAcentral.
UAUUUUCAAAUUAGGUCACUCCGUUAAAAAAAAUAGACAGACGUUAAAAUUUUAUCUACGUGGUUCUGAAAAAAAUAUACAAAAAAUAAAAAAAAUACAUGUGGUAAAAAAAAUAAAUAACUAGAAACAUUAGCCAGCCCAACCUGCUCAGUGACUGAAAGUCUAACCCGACCCGGAUUAGUACAAAUAUAUCAAACCCACCGUCAGUAGCAAAAAACGAAAAUCAAAACAUCAAUAGCACUCUUUCUUUCUUCUCCAAUUUCAUUUCUAAAUUCUCUCUCACGCGCUACCAGAAAAAACACAGUUGCUUUCUUCUAGGUCUGAAAUUCAGAAUUCAUUGGUGCCAUGGCGGUAGAAGAUAGAAAUCUGUCGGAACUGUAUCACACCUCCAAGAGGUUGUUGUUGAAGAGCGGGGAUGGCUUGGAGCGCCUCGAGCGUCUAGAAUUUUCCUCUUCUACAACAACCGUCGACUCGCCGGAGCUAUCGUACGCCGUCCAAAGAGAUAUCGCUCAGAUCCAGUCACUCUGCGCCGAUAUGGAUUGCCACUGGCGAUCCGUCGCUGCCAAGUCUCAGCGUGAUCUCUGGAAAAAGUUCUCGUUCCCCUCUCUCUCUCUCUAAAAUUAAAGAUCCAAAGUACAACAGCUUAAAAAAUAGCAUCAAAUAACUAAAAUAAAAAUACAAGUCAUCAAAUCAGAUCUGGUAAAAUCAAGAACAGAAACUAUGAGAUGGAUUUUUUCAGUUCCAAACAUGGCUGACCAUGGUACCCUAUUUAGUAUCAAAGGUAACAAAAUCCUAGGUUCCCAUCCUUGAUUUUGAGCAGAUUCCCCAAAUUGAAUUUAUAGAAAUUGACAACAAAACUCUAGACUUUAGACCCAAACUUGCUAAACUGAAAAGGAAAGAGUUUUUAGACACAAAAUCGUACAUACCUUGUAACCACAAAAUAUCUAAACCAAAAAUUCAAUGAGUCGUGAACCCUAGAUCGACUUCUUCGUCGCUGGAACCCUAGUACGCUAUAAACGAGGUUGGAAAGAGAUUUACAAAAAUCAUGGCUUCUAGGUCACAAAAGUUAAGCUUCUCCCAGUUAUCUGAACAGAUGUGAUGAAGAACCCUCUCCUUUGUCUCUCUCUGUUUCUCACUGUGAACUACUUCGAUUUGGCUGGUAACGACUCUUCUAUUUAGCGCGAAAGCCACG